UACGGGGGGGGCAAGCGUUGUUCGGAAUUACUGGGCGUAAAGGGUUCGUAGGUGGCCUGCUAAGUCGGACGUGAAAUCCCUCGGCUCAACCGGGGAACUGCGUCCGAUACUGGUGGGCUUGAGUGCAGGAGAGGAACGCGGAAUUCCAGGUGUAGCGGUGAAAUGCGUAGAUAUCUGGAGGAACACCGGUGGCGAAGGCGGCGUUCUGGACUGCAACUGACACUGAGGAACGAAAGCCAGGGGAGCAAACGGG
RNAcentral lists this ribosomal RNA (253 nucleotides) under uncultured bacterium. RNAcentral's name for it is "partial 16S ribosomal RNA". It matches the Rfam family "Bacterial small subunit ribosomal RNA", at positions 524 to 776 of the family's 1533-position model. The record is from RNAcentral.